AUUUUCACAUUUAUGAUUUUUUUUAACUUAUCUUUAUUAUUCCCAAUAAAAAUUUUGAAUACAAAUGAGAAAAAAAUAGUCCAAGUACUUAAAUAUGUAUUUACCCAAAUGGGUUGAUUAAGUUUAUGAAUUAUAAUAACCAUAAAACAACAUAUACAUAUGUAUAUAUAUACAUAAUUAUACUUUAUUUGUUUUAAUAGUAUAAAUAAAUAAAUAUUAUGCAAUAUAUAUAUUUAGCUUAUAUAUAAUGUACGUGAAUAUUAACAUUUUUUUUUUAUGAUGCUUUGGUUUACAUAUAGUUAAUAUCGGAAGACACUAACAUAAAUGACUUGGAACAUAUACAGACCAUUCUUAAAAAUGUAGAACAAAGCGAAGUUGAUAAUUUAAAAAUUUUUAACAUAGAAAAUAUAAUAUUUGAGUUAUCAGAUGAAAUCAUAAGACAAAUAACGAUUGAAUGUUCUAAGCGUGGCUAUGCCUUAAUACUGAUAAAUAAUGAAAUACAAAAAAAUAUUUAUUAUUAUAAAAGUUUAAUAGAAAUUAUUGAGCAUAAUAAUAAUAUAAACAAGGAAAAUUUUAAAAAAUCCGAAGAAGAAUAUAAAAUUGUGUUAGAACAAUUGUCUUUAGAAGAAAAUGAAUUAAAUGACAAAUUAGAUGAAUUGCAACAUGAGCUUCAAUUAUUAAAAAAUGAAAAUGCAAAGAAAAUGCAAGAAAAUAAAAAUAAGCAAGAGAUACAGUAUGAUUUGUUGAAGCAUAAUGAAUCAUUGCUUGAAAAAAUUCAAGCAUGUUAUGAUAAAAAAGGAGAGUUUUAAAAAAAGUUAAAAAAAAAAAGAAUGAAAAAAAAAAAACCUUUGUAUGAAUGAGUAUAAACGGGUAUGUGCGCAUCUGGCUUAUAUCUAAGCCAUUUUUUUUUUUUUUUUUUUUGUGAUAAAAAACAUUUAACAGACAUUUUAAGAUAUAUUUUUAUGCUGUUUAUCUAUUUAUUUAUUCACAUAUUUAUCUGUUUUAUUCAAUUCAAUUUUUUUCAUUCUUUCUCAAUACAGACUUCUGCAUUUUUAUUUUAUUACACUAAACAAGGUUUAAAUCUUUAAAAACAAAAUAUAUGAAUCUUUACUUGUUUAUAGCUUGGAUAAAGCUUCACGCAUGUUUUCAAUUUUGUUUUUAUUUUCAAUGAUUAAUUUUUCUUCAUUAAAAAUAUUUUGGACAAUAGUUGCUCGAUCUUUUAAUAUAUAGUAAUACUUUUCCACAAAAACUGAGAAUGUCUAAAUAUUAAAAAAAAAAAAUAAUAAACAUACGUAUACACAUAAAUAUUAUAUAUAU
Molecule: long non-coding RNA, 1317 nt
Organism: Piliocolobus tephrosceles (Ugandan red Colobus)
Lineage: Eukaryota; Metazoa; Chordata; Mammalia; Primates; Cercopithecidae
Source: Ensembl